ACGGAAGGCAGCAGUGAGGAAUAUUGGUCAAUGGAGGAAACUCUGAACCAGCCAAGUCGUGUGAGGGAAGAAUGCCCUACGGGUUGUAAACCUCUUUUGCUGGGGGAUAAACCUGACCACGUGUGGUCAGCUGAAGGUACCCGGUGAAUAAGCAUCGGCUAACUCCGUGCCAGCAGCCGCGGUAAUACGGAGGAUGCGAGCGUUAUCCGGAUUUAUUGGGUUUAAAGGGUGCGCAGGCGGGCUGUUAAGUCAGCGGUGAAAUCCCCGGGCUCAACUCGGAAACUGCCGUUGAUACUGGCGGCCUUGAGUCAUGUAGAGGAUGGCGGAAUGCAGCGUGUAGCGGUGAAAUGCUUAGAUAUGCUGCAGAACUCCGAUUGCGAAGGCAGCUGUCCAGAGAGGUACUGACGCUGAGGCACGAAAGCAUGGGUAUCAAACAGGAUUAGAUACCCUGGUA
Molecule: ribosomal RNA, 454 nt
Filed under: uncultured bacterium
Lineage: Bacteria
Description: partial 16S ribosomal RNA
Rfam family: Bacterial small subunit ribosomal RNA
Source: RNAcentral